AACGAACGCUGGCGGCGUGCCUAACACAUGCAAGUCGUGCGAGAAAGUUCCUUCGGGAGCGAGUAAAGCGGCGCACGGGUGAGUAACACGUAGGUAACCUGCCCCCCAGUCUGGAACAACUAGAGGAAACUCUAGCUAAUGCCGGAUGAGACCACGAUCCCCUUCGGGGGUUGCGGCCAAAGAUGGCCUCUACUUGUAAGCUAUCGCUGAGGGAUGGGCCUGCGGGCCAUUAGCUUGUUGGUGAGGUAACGGCUCACCAAGGCUGUGAUGGCUAGCUGGUCUGAGAGGAUGACCAGCCACACUGGGACUGAGACACGGCCCAGACUCCUACGGGAGGCAGCAGUGGGGAAUAUUGCGCAAUGGGCGAAAGCCUGACGCAGCGACGCCGCGUGGGUGAUGAAGGCC
This 405-nucleotide ribosomal RNA is filed under the name uncultured bacterium. RNAcentral's name for it is "bacterial SSU rRNA". It matches the Rfam family "Bacterial small subunit ribosomal RNA", at positions 29 to 416 of the family's 1533-position model. The record is from RNAcentral.